This is a non-coding RNA of Rattus norvegicus (Norway rat), 597 nucleotides long. The record is from RefSeq and is a predicted model, not a curated record. Lineage: Eukaryota; Metazoa; Chordata; Mammalia; Rodentia; Muridae.
GGAUGAAUAUGUAUGACAAGUAAUCUUGGACUGUCAGCUUCCAAAACCAUAAGCUAAAUAACCUAUUUUUUUUCUUUUUAAAGAACCCAAACUCAGGCAUUUUGUUCUCACAACAGAAAAGGUUUAUUCUAGGGAAACUGAGGGCAUAUUUGUCAAUAGUUGAUGUUUCUGCCGGUGUUUGAUCACCUCUCAAUUCUGAGGGACCUGAGCUCACAGGACUGGAGAGUGAAGGUACACAGAGAGGGGGUUGCCUCAACACUGCAGAACAGAGCCAAGGAGCCAUGGAAUGCCUGUCAGUGGGCAUAGAGAUGGACAUCAAUGACUCUACUGUCUUAUGGGAUGGUGGAUGGAAGCCAGUGAAGAUCCGGAGGCUGGGAAAGAAGGGCUGAGGGAGCACUUAAAAUCUGGAGCACCUUUGGGACCUGCCUUCCCCCCUCCCCUGGUCCUGCUUCUUGUGGUGCCAAGGUUAACUGGAUACGGAAGACCUUCAGUCACUAAGUGAAACAGAAACUAUCGGAAAGCACGGGCCAUAUUGGUGAAUACUUGGCGAUCCGGAUAAUUCCCAGGGUUGGUUGAUAAGGUCAGCAAUAAAAAGCC